Molecule: transfer RNA, 74 nt
Filed under: Bryobacterales bacterium
Lineage: Bacteria; Pseudomonadati; Acidobacteriota; Terriglobia; Bryobacterales
Description: tRNA-Trp
Rfam family: tRNA
About the family: Transfer RNA (tRNA) molecules are approximately 80 nucleotides in length.
Source: RNAcentral
AGGGGCGUAGGUUAAUGGUAGACCAGCGGUCUCCAAAACCGCCUGUGGGGGUUCGACUCCCUCCGCCCCUGCCA